This 200-nucleotide long non-coding RNA is filed under the name Elaeis guineensis (African oil palm). RNAcentral's name for it is "long non-coding RNA (EGUI_LNC021316)". Lineage: Eukaryota; Viridiplantae; Streptophyta; Magnoliopsida; Arecales; Arecaceae. The record is from RNAcentral.
CUCACAACUAUUGCAGAUGAAUCAGCAUAUCAUUGGUAGUCUAUAUGUCCUUAUGCAUAAUUGAAGUUCAUCAACCAUGGACUCCAAGUUAUAGCACCUAACCUAAUUAUCAAUAUCCAACCAUUUGUCAAGUAUAGCUCGUUGACUAUGGAUUGGAUAAGUUAAUGACAUUGGGUUAACCUAAUCAAGAACAUGGCUUA